CAGGCAAUCAGGAAAGACAUCAGACCAGUGAAACAGGAGGAAGAGCAAGUGACCUGAAACGAGAAGGAGAGUCAGCAUUUCAAAAUAAAACAAGAAAUGACAAAACAACAUGAAACCAGACGAAACCCAGACCAGACUUCAACCAGUUCCAGGUGUGCUGCCAGUCAUCCGAGCCCAUCUGCUGCUAAUCAACUACCAGACUUAAACCCUGGAUCUCCACUCAGCCGGUGCCAGUUCGUCCGUUGCCUGCGGUGGAGGACAGACCUUUGACCCGGUUUUCCUGGCGCUGAUCUUUCGUUGCAAUUGAUUUAUUUUCUCCAGUGAUUUUUUUGUUAUUAAUUAGAUUUUUUAACGGAUCUGCAUUUGGAUUCUUAUUUUUGAGGCCACAAAACUUACAGCUAGUAGC
Nerophis lumbriciformis (worm pipefish) is the source of this 406-nucleotide long non-coding RNA. RefSeq lists it as uncharacterized. Lineage: Eukaryota; Metazoa; Chordata; Actinopteri; Syngnathiformes; Syngnathidae. The record is from RefSeq and is a predicted model, not a curated record.